This 377-nucleotide ribosomal RNA is filed under the name uncultured bacterium. Its description in RNAcentral is "bacterial SSU rRNA". It matches the Rfam family "Bacterial small subunit ribosomal RNA", at positions 524 to 898 of the family's 1533-position model. The record is from RNAcentral.
GACGAACCGUGCGAACGUUAUUCGGAAUCACUGGGCUUAAAGAGCGCGUAGGCGGAUUGCCGCGUCGGAGUCUGAAAUCCCCCGGCUCAACCGGGGAACUGGAUCCGAAACGGGCAGUCUUGAGGGACGUAGGGGGGGCUGGAACUUCCGGUGGAGCGGUGAAAUGCGUUGAGAUCGGAAGGAACGCCCGUGGCGAAAGCGAGCCCCUGGACGUCUGCUGACGCUGAGGCGCGAAAGCUAGGGGAGCGAACGGGAUUAGAUACCCCGGUAGUCCUAGCCGUAAACGAUGGACACUGGGUAGGGGGCUCGCCGAUGGGCUCCCUGCCGCAGGGAAACCGUGAAGUGUCCCGCCUGGGGAGUAUGGUCGCAAGGCUGAA